GUGAGUCAUCGAAUCUUUGAACGCACAUUGCGCCCGCCAGUAUUCUGGCGGGCAUGCCUGUUCGAGCGUCAUUUCAACCAUCAAGCCCCAGGCUUGUGUUGGGGGCCUGCAGCUGCUGCAGCCCCCUAAAAGCAGUGGCGGGCUCGCUGUCAUUCCGAGCGCAGUAGUUAUAUCUCGCUCUGGGCGUGGCGGUGGGCACCUGCCGUUAAACACUCUUUCUAAGGUUGACCUCGGAUCAGGUAGGAAUACCCGCUGAACUUAAGCAUAUCAAUAAGCGGAGGA
This 282-nucleotide unclassified non-coding RNA is filed under the name Ramophialophora sp. RNAcentral describes it as "partial contains 5.8S ribosomal RNA, internal transcribed spacer 2, and large subunit ribosomal RNA". The stretch from base 1 to 71 matches the Rfam family "5.8S ribosomal RNA", at positions 84 to 154 of the family's 154-position model. The record is from RNAcentral. Lineage: Eukaryota; Fungi; Ascomycota; Sordariomycetes; Sordariales.